UUGGAAGAAGAUAUGGCCAUAGGUUGGGAC
Molecule: non-coding RNA, 30 nt
Filed under: Rattus norvegicus (Norway rat)
Lineage: Eukaryota; Metazoa; Chordata; Mammalia; Rodentia; Muridae
Source: RNAcentral